CGGCGGACGGGUGAGUAACGCGUGGGUAACCUGCCUCAUACAGGGGGAUAACAGUUGGAAACGGCUGCUAGUACCGCAUAAGCGCACAGUACCGCAUGGUACGGUGUGAAAAACUCCGGUGGUAUGAGAUGGACCCGCGUCUGAUUAGGUAGUUGGUGGGGUAACGGCCUACCAAGCCGACGAUCAGUAGCCGACCUGAGAGGGUGACCGGCCACAUUGGGACUGAGACACGGCCCAA
Molecule: ribosomal RNA, 238 nt
Filed under: uncultured bacterium
Lineage: Bacteria
Description: partial 16S ribosomal RNA
Rfam family: Bacterial small subunit ribosomal RNA
Source: RNAcentral